GUCCACGCCGUAAACGAUGAGAACUAGGUGUGGGAGGUGUCGACUCCUCCCGUGCCGUCGCUAACGCAUUAAGUUCUCCGCCUGGGGAGUACGGCCGCAAGGCUAAAACUCAAAGGAAUUGACGGGGGCCCGCACAAGCAGCGGAGCAUGUGGUUUAAUUCGAUGCAACGCGAAGAACCUUACCUGGGUUUGAAAUGUUGGUGACCGCCGUGGAAACACGGCUUUCCUUCGGGACACCAUCACAGGUGGUGCAUGGCUGUCGU
RNAcentral lists this ribosomal RNA (263 nucleotides) under uncultured bacterium. Its description in RNAcentral is "partial 16S ribosomal RNA". It matches the Rfam family "Bacterial small subunit ribosomal RNA", at positions 793 to 1055 of the family's 1533-position model. The record is from RNAcentral.